AUUGAACGCUGGCGGCAGGCCUAACACAUGCAAGUCGAACGGUAACAGGAAGAAGCUUGCUUCUUUGCUGACGAGUGGCGGACGGGUGAGUAAUGUCUGGGAAACUGCCUGAUGGAGGGGGAUAACUACUGGAAACGGUAGCUAAUACCGCAUAACGUCGCAAGACCAAAGAGGGGGACCUUCGGGCCUCUUGCCAUCGGAUGUGCCCAGAUGGGAUUAGCUAGUAGGUGGGGUAACGGCUCACCUAGGCGACGAUCCCUAGCUGGUCUGAGAGGAUGACCAGCCACACUGGAACUGAGACACGGUCCAGACUCCUACGGGAGGCAGCAGUGGGGAAUAUUGCACAAUGGGCGCAAGCCUGAUGCAGCCAUGCCGCGUGUAUGAAGAAGGCCCUCGGGUUGUAAAGUACUUUCAGCGGGGAGGAAGGGAGUAAAGUUAAUACCUUUGCUCAUUGACGUUACCCGCAGAAGAAGCACCGGCUAACUCCGUG
RNAcentral lists this ribosomal RNA (490 nucleotides) under uncultured bacterium. RNAcentral describes it as "partial 16S ribosomal RNA". It matches the Rfam family "Bacterial small subunit ribosomal RNA", at positions 30 to 507 of the family's 1533-position model. The record is from RNAcentral.